GGGGCAUCAGUUUCUUCAACAAGCAACUUCAAUAAAGUUUCACCAACCUUCACUAUAUCACCAGGAGUAAAGAGAAUCUGAUGAACCUUUCCUUUGAAUCGACUUGUAAUUUCAAUAGUUGCUUUAUCACUCUGUACUUCACAAAGACGUUGAAAUUCUUCUACAUUAUCAUUCUCUUCCACGAACCAUUUUAGCAGCUCGCAUUCCGCGAUCCCCUCGCCAGUCUGCGCCAGGGGCACGUCCACCACCGCCCCGGCCGGCGGAUCAAUCCACGCCAGGCUCGACAGCGGCCGCCGCACCGCAGCGCCGCCCAAUUCCACCAACUGGGGCAGCGCCGGUUUCGAGCGGAGGUACGGUAAUUGUGGCGGAAGAGGCGGGGCGAUUGAAGGCCGCAGGGCUGCAAUGGCGCCGCGGGAGUGGCGAAGAAGGCGUCUCCAGGCCAUGGGGAUUGGGGGGAUCCGGU
Molecule: unclassified non-coding RNA, 463 nt
Filed under: Hevea brasiliensis (rubber tree)
Lineage: Eukaryota; Viridiplantae; Streptophyta; Magnoliopsida; Malpighiales; Euphorbiaceae
Source: RNAcentral